RNAcentral lists this ribosomal RNA (198 nucleotides) under uncultured bacterium. RNAcentral describes it as "partial 16S ribosomal RNA". It matches the Rfam family "Bacterial small subunit ribosomal RNA", at positions 328 to 539 of the family's 1533-position model. The record is from RNAcentral.
ACGCUCGACACCUACGGGGGGCAGCAGUGGGGAAUAUUGCACAAUGGGGGAAACCCUGAUGCAGCGACGCCGCGUGAGCGAAGAAGUAUUUCGGUAUGUAAAGCUCUAUCAGCAGGGAAGAAACUGACGGUACCUGACUAAGAAGCACCGGCUAAAUACGUGCAAGCAGCCGCGGUAAUCUGAGCGGGCUGGCAAGGC